GAGAGUAGUUGAGUAUUUCGUUGUUCAAAAGAUAACGAAGCCCGUGGCGGACCACUACUUUCACAAUCCACAACACAAAAACUUAUGACACUGAUUAAGUCAAAUUAAUUAUUAAGAAAUAAGCAAAAGUGUCCGUCAGGUAAUAGUGAAAGGUGACUACAUAGUAAUGAGCCGUUCAUUGCACGAAAGGAUCGCAAGUCUGAUCGUAUUCUUACCAAACACCUCUAAUCCCGCAAGGACUAGUUGGGGAGGCAUCCUCGAAGAGAGUCGAGUAAUAAGAGAGUAACUAUUAUCUCAAGGAGUGGUACACCUAAAAGACCGUCACUGAGAAAUACUUCUCAAAAGGAAGUGGAUAGGAGUAGAAACAAUAAUGACUCUAAAGGUUCUCACAAACAGGUGUAAUCUCAGCCU
This 411-nucleotide non-coding RNA is filed under the name unclassified sequences. RNAcentral describes it as "Giant, ornate, lake- and Lactobacillales-derived (GOLLD) RNA". It matches the Rfam family "Giant, ornate, lake- and Lactobacillales-derived (GOLLD) RNA". The record is from Rfam by way of RNAcentral.